Molecule: ribosomal RNA, 660 nt
Filed under: uncultured bacterium
Lineage: Bacteria
Description: bacterial SSU rRNA
Rfam family: Bacterial small subunit ribosomal RNA
Source: RNAcentral
AGUGGCGGACGGGUGAGUAACGCGUGAGAAUCUGCCUUGGGGUCGGGGACAACCACUGGAAACGGUGGCUAAUACCGGAUACGCCUUCGGGUAAAAGAUUUAUUGCCCUAAGAGGAGCUCGCGUCUGAUUAGCUAGUUGGUGAGGUAAGAGCUCACCAAGGCAGCGAUCAGUAGCUGGUCUGGGAGGACGAUCAGCCACACUGGGACUGAGACACGGCCCAGACUCCUACGGGAGGCAGCAGUGGGGAAUUUUCCGCAAUGGGCGAAAGCCUGACGGAGCAAGACCGCGUGAGGGAGGAAGGCUCUUGGGUUGUAAACCUCUUUUCUCAGGGAAGAAGCUCUGACGGUACCUGAGGAAUCAGCCUCGGCUAACUCCGUGCCAGCAGCCGCGGUAAUACGGAGGAGGCAAGCGUUAUCCGGAAUUAUUGGGCGUAAAGCGUCCGCAGGUGGCGAUUCAAGUCUGCUGUCAAAGCACGGGGCUUAACUCCGUAAAGGCAGUGGAAACUGAAUAGCUAGAGUGCCGUAGGGGUAGAGGGAAUUCCCGGUGUAGCGGUGAAAUGCGUAGAGAUCGGGAAGAACAUCGGUGGCGAAAGCGCUCUACUGGACGGCAACUGACACUCAGGGACGAAAGCUAGGGGAGCGAAUGGGAUUAGAUACCCC